This 70-nucleotide transfer RNA is filed under the name Oplurus grandidieri. Its description in RNAcentral is "tRNA-Arg". Lineage: Eukaryota; Metazoa; Chordata; Lepidosauria; Squamata. The record is from RNAcentral.
UGGACGUUAGUCUAAAAAAAGACAAUUAAUUUCGACUUAAUAAAUCCAAAACUUUACUUUGGACGCCCAU